This 374-nucleotide long non-coding RNA is filed under the name Gallus gallus (chicken). RNAcentral describes it as "lncRNA (ENSGALG00010007144.1)". Lineage: Eukaryota; Metazoa; Chordata; Aves; Galliformes; Phasianidae. The record is from RNAcentral.
CACUGUUUCAUCUCCAAAAAUGCUCAGCAAGCAUCAGUGAAUGCCAAUGGGUGCCAAUUCUUCUGCAUGUAGAAUCGAAGAAUCAUGAGGGUUGGAAGGGACCUCUGGAGAUCACCUAAUUCAACCCCGCUGCUAAAGCAGGUCUGAAAAGGUUUAUUUCCACAAUGGUCUCCUAGGAAUCAAGAAAUACUCCCCUGAUGACAACUGCUGACUUCCUUCGUUUUUCUUUUUGCCCUGUCUUGCUUUGUUUAACAAUAGCUUUUCAAAGCUAAAUGUGCACUUACAUAUACACUUUACUGUGAUGGAAACCUAGCUUAUCGAAGAACCUACAUUAUCCUCUGCUGUUAAUAUACCAAUAAAAUUCUGUUUCUCAC